GGAAAAGGCCUACCAAGGCGACGAUGGUAAGCUGGUCUGAGAGGAUGAUCAGCCACACUGGAACUGACACACGGUCCAGACUCCUACGGGAGGCAGCAGUGAGGAAUUUUGCGCAAUGGGGGAAACCCUGACGCAGCAACGCCGCGUGAGUGAUGAAGGCCUUCGGGUCGUAAAGCUCUGUCAAGUGGGAAGAAAAUACGGAGUGCUAAUAUCAUUUUGUACUGACGGUACCACUGAAGGAAGCACCGGCUAACUCCGUGCCAGCAGCCGCGGUAAUACGGGGGGUGCAAGCGUUAUUCGGAAUUAUUGGGCGUAAAGAGCGCGUAGGCGGUCUUUUAAGUCAGAUGUGAAAGCCCGGGGCUCAACCCCGGAAGUGCAUUUGAAACUAGAGGACUUGAGUAUGGGAGAGGGAAGUGGAAUUCCUGGUGUAGAGGUGAAAUUCGUAGAUAUCAGGAGGAACACCGGUGGCGAAGGCGACUUCCUGGACCAAUACUGACGCUGAGGCGCGAAGGCGUGGGGAGCAAACAGGAUUAGAUACCCUGGUAGUCCACGCAGUAAACGAUGUUCCCUAGGUGUAGCGGGUAUUGACCCCUGCUGUGCCGCAGUUAACGCAUUAA
This 617-nucleotide ribosomal RNA is filed under the name uncultured bacterium. Its description in RNAcentral is "bacterial SSU rRNA". It matches the Rfam family "Bacterial small subunit ribosomal RNA", at positions 256 to 863 of the family's 1533-position model. The record is from RNAcentral.